This is a long non-coding RNA of Brassica rapa (field mustard), 1139 nucleotides long. RefSeq lists it as uncharacterized. Lineage: Eukaryota; Viridiplantae; Streptophyta; Magnoliopsida; Brassicales; Brassicaceae. The record is from RefSeq and is a predicted model, not a curated record.
UCUUCCUAAUCAUAUAUUCAGGUAAAAAUAAAGAUGCAAUCUUAAACAUUUUCUAAUGAUCCAUAAUAACAAAGCAGAGAGAAGCUGAUGAUGCAGGAUACUGAAGAUGUUUGAGAAAAAAUGAGCUUAAACCAUCUAUAGAUUAUGCAAAAUAAAGAAGCUAUAGCUACUUCAAAACCUCAACAUAUAUGAAUACAAAAAAGAGUGUGUAUCCUGUAGCUGAAGAUGAAUUAGAACACGGAGAAAUAAGGACUAAAGCUUCUAAAUUGAAAACAUUCAUAGUAACCUUAUGAACACUUAGCGUCAAUUUUAACUUAAAACAUGAUUAUAUAACAAGUAUUAUGACAAGACAUGAUGAAGCUCUCUGACCUUUUGCUUAUUUUUGUACUCUUCCCAGGUGAUAGUGUGGGUAGUCUUGAGACUAGCCAAACGAGCCGCAUGCCACUCUGGUGUAUGAAAUGAACCAUCCACCUGAGACACUCCUCAUCAGAAACGUUCCAAGUACAGACACAACAAAUCAUCAUCAAGCCGAAUAAAAACAAAACCAAAUUGUAAUAGGAGACACAUGAACCACUCAGACACAAACCUCAAUGCUACACUCUAAAAGAAACUACAAAUCAACUUCAAUUUUCCUCAAGACACGAACAUAUAUAUCAAUGUAAAUUGUCCUAAGAGGUUCGAUUACAAAUUGUUCCCCUGAAACUGAGACUCUAAAUUGGAUUAUCUUGAGGAGACGUGACGAUUAAGAAAGGAGUAUGAAAGGGUACAAACCAUUCCAUCUUCAACCUCAUCAGGCUGAGCUGAGGCGGAGCCAACCCUGGAUCUCUGCAUAGCCUUGUACGCUUGAUUCUUCCCCAUUGCUUACCAGAGAGAGAGAAAAAAAGUCCGAAACUUUCUUUCAGGGAGGAGGAGAGAGAUUGAGGAUUAACGGUCUAAAGGAGAGGCUCUGUUAGAGAAGGCGAGAGCCAGAGAGAGAGAUAGAGAAGAAAGACGACAACUUUGAGAAGCUGAACCGAAAACGCUCUUGGAAUUUAAUUUUACGCCCAAAUUGAAAUUUAGUUAAUAAUAAAAGGACCAAUUUGUAAAUAUUGUUUAUAUAUACUAAAUAGUUUUGAAAAUAACAAUAAACCCCGUUUACU